GACGUAGGUGGCGAGCGUUGUCCGGAAUUACUGGGCGUAAAGGGCGUGUAGGCGGCCUGUUAAGUCAGACGUGAAAUCCCUGGGCUUAACCUUGGGACUGCGUUUGAUACUGAUGGGCUUGAGGACAGGAGAGGAAAGCGGAACUCCGUGUGUAGCGGUGAAAUGCGUAGAUAUACGGAAGAACACCAGUGGCGAAGGCGGCUUUCUGGACUGUCCCUGACGCUGAGGCGCGAAAGCCAGGGGAG
RNAcentral lists this ribosomal RNA (245 nucleotides) under uncultured bacterium. RNAcentral's name for it is "partial 16S ribosomal RNA". It matches the Rfam family "Bacterial small subunit ribosomal RNA", at positions 524 to 768 of the family's 1533-position model. The record is from RNAcentral.